UAGAUACCCUGGUAGUCCACGCCCUAAACGAUGAAUACUCGCUGUUGGCGAUACACAGUCAGCGGCUAAGCGAAAGCGUUAAGUAUUCCACCUGGGGAGUACGCCCGCAAGGGUGAAACUCAAAGGAAUUGACGGGGGCCCGCACAAGCGGAGGAGCAUGUGGUUUAAUUCGAUGAUACGCGAGGAACCUUACCCGGGCUUGAAAGUUAGUGAAUGUACCAGAGAUGGUACAGUGAGCAAUCACACGAAA
Molecule: ribosomal RNA, 250 nt
Filed under: uncultured bacterium
Lineage: Bacteria
Description: partial 16S ribosomal RNA
Rfam family: Bacterial small subunit ribosomal RNA
Source: RNAcentral